This 378-nucleotide unclassified non-coding RNA is filed under the name uncultured bacterium. Its description in RNAcentral is "contains 16S-23S intergenic spacer region". The record is from RNAcentral.
UCCGGCUUAUCACCGGCAGUCCCCUUAGAGUGCCCAACUAAAUGAUGGCAACUAAGGGCGAGGGUUGCGCUCGUUGCGGGACUUAACCCAACAUCUCACGACACGAGCUGACGACAGCCAUGCAGUACCUGUCUCGGGACUCCGGAGAGGGGUCCUGGUUUCUCAGGACUUUCCCCGAGAUGUCAAGCCCAGGUAAGGUUCUUCGCGUUGCGUCGAAUUAAACCACAUGCUCCACCGCUUGUGCGGGCCCCCGUCAAUUCCUUUGAGUUUCAGCCUCGCGGCCGUACUCCCCAGGCGGGGCACUUACUGCGUUAGCGACGGCACCGGGAGGGUCGCUCCCCCCGACGCCUAGUGCCCAUCGUUUACGGCGUGGACUAC